Molecule: ribosomal RNA, 1302 nt
Filed under: Escherichia coli
Lineage: Bacteria; Pseudomonadati; Pseudomonadota; Gammaproteobacteria; Enterobacterales; Enterobacteriaceae
Description: partial 23S ribosomal RNA
Rfam family: Bacterial large subunit ribosomal RNA
Source: RNAcentral
CAGGUGGUCAGGUAGAGAAUACCAAGGCGCUUGAGAGAACUCGGGUGAAGGAACUAGGCAAAAUGGUGCCGUAACUUCGGGAGAAGGCACGCUGAUAUGUAGGUGAAGCGACUUGCUCGUGGAGCUGAAAUCAGUCGAAGAUACCAGCUGGCUGCAACUGUUUAUUAAAAACACAGCACUGUGCAAACACGAAAGUGGACGUAUACGGUGUGACGCCUGCCCGGUGCCGGAAGGUUAAUUGAUGGGGUUAGCGGUAACGCGAAGCUCUUGAUCGAAGCCCCGGUAAACGGCGGCCGUAACUAUAACGGUCCUAAGGUAGCGAAAUUCCUUGUCGGGUAAGUUCCGACCUGCACGAAUGGCGUAAUGAUGGCCAGGCUGUCUCCACCCGAGACUCAGUGAAAUUGAACUCGCUGUGAAGAUGCAGUGUACCCGCGGCAAGACGGAAAGACCCCGUGAACCUUUACUAUAGCUUGACACUGAACAUUGAGCCUUGAUGUGUAGGAUAGGUGGGAGGCUUUGAAGUGUGGACGCCAGUCUGCAUGGAGCCGACCUUGAAAUACCACCCUUUAAUGUUUGAUGUUCUAACGUGGGCCCCUUACCGGGGUUGCGGACAGUGUCUGGUGGGUAGUUUGACUGGGGCGGUCUCCUCCUAAAGAGUAACGGAGGAGCACGAAGGUUGGCUAAUCCUGGUCGGACAUCAGGAGGUUAGUGCAAUGGCAUAAGCCAGCUUGACUGCGAGCGUGACGGCGCGAGCAGGUGCGAAAGCAGGUCAUAGUGAUCCGGUGGUUCUGAAUGGAAGGGCCAUCGCUCAACGGAUAAAAGGUACUCCGGGGAUAACAGGCUGAUACCGCCCAAGAGUUCAUAUCGACGGCGGUGUUUGGCACCUCGAUGUCGGCUCAUCACAUCCUGGGGCUGAAGUAGGUCCCAAGGGUAUGGCUGUUCGCCAUUUAAAGUGGUACGCGAGCUGGGUUUAGAACGUCGUGAGACAGUUCGGUCCCUAUCUGCCGUGGGCGCUGGAGAACUGAGGGGGGCUGCUCCUAGUACGAGAGGACCGGAGUGGACGCAUCACUGGUGUUCGGGUUGUCAUGCCAAUGGCACUGCCCGGUAGCUAAAUGCGGAAGAGAUAAGUGCUGAAAGCAUCUAAGCACGAAACUUGCCCCGAGAUGAGUUCUCCCUGAGACUUAGAGUCUCCUGAAGGAACGUUGAAGACGACGACGUUGAUAGGCCGGGUGUGUAAGCGCAGCGAUACGUUGAGCUAACCGGUACUAAUGAACCGUGAGGCUUAACCUUACAACGCCGAAG